UUGGUGAAGCAAAUAGACUAUCAUGAACGGCUUGUUGAACAUUUCUACAGAGUCAAGAAAGAAUGAUACAUGUAUGUAUAUAUCAUUUACAAAGUAUUAUAACUCAUUUGUGCUAUCCGCUUACAUUUUUGCAAAAACCACGUGCAUUAAUCAAACAAUCCAUGGGUAUAUGAAAGAAGCAAUACUGGAUAUACCAUAAUUUUAAAUUUUCAAACAUAACCUAUAUAAAUAUAAUUAUGAAAUGGGGUUAAGCUAAGCUAUAAAAAGAAUUUUCCAUUAUAUUUUACCAAAGAGUCAUCAUACAUCAAAUGUCAUUUCUAGAGUAGAAUGUACAGAGCAAAAGUAAUGUCAUGAAUUAGGUGUAUAUCAUAUAUGCUCAAUAACUGCAUAUAGAUAAUGUAUGAGAAGUAGGUGUUACAUAAAAAAUGAGUCAAAAUCCAAAUCCUAAGAGAAACUAACAUGACUGUAAAUUUAUUUGACAGUAUAUCCACCUCUUGUAAACCUUUUAAAAUUAAAUGUUGUAGCUGAAGUUGCUUUAUCAAGCAUAAGGUGCUUCUCCAUAGAUGUUUAUUGAUUACAGCUAUUACACGUAAAUGUCUCAUCAAUCUUUAAACUUGUGUCAAAUUUAACCUCAUCUUCUAUAUUAGUUAGUUUCUUCUUCUCUUUAAAACCCUCUUUAAAAAUAAAUGAAGCUUUAAACCAAGCAAGACUUUACACGGUUAAAAGAGUUCAGUUUUCGAAGUUGUAAAAAGGCAUGGAGAUUUAAACUAACUAAUACAGCUUCAUAGAUUCAAAAGGAUCAGAUAUGUAAGUUCAAAAACUUCUUUAAAAUCCUAUUGAAAAAGUAACCUGCUAAAAAAAAUGAAGAACACCAUUUGUUAAUAAGAAGAUCAAACAAUUUAGCAUAUCUAACAUUAAAAAACACCAUUCAUCUAAGGUCCUUCCAAAACAAUGAAGAAACCUCAUCCCCACCUAUCUAGAAAUAUUAUCCAACAGCCACCGAUCAUCUAACAAACCACCCCCCCUCCUAAUAUAGUUUGCGUUUUGCCACCAUAAAG
Molecule: long non-coding RNA, 1058 nt
Filed under: Medicago truncatula (barrel medic)
Lineage: Eukaryota; Viridiplantae; Streptophyta; Magnoliopsida; Fabales; Fabaceae
Description: long non-coding RNA (MTRU_LNC002572)
Source: RNAcentral